CCUACGGGGGGCUGCAGUGGGGAAUAUUGGACAAUGGGGGCAACCCUGAUCCAGCCAUGCCGCGUGUGUGAAGAAGGCCCUCGGGUUGUAAAGCACUUUCAGUGAGGAAGAACGCCUGGUGGUUAAUACCCAUCAGGAAAGACAUCACUCACAGAAGAAGCACCGGCUAACUCCGUGCCAGCAGCCGCGGUAAUACGGAGGGUGCGAGCGUUAAUCGGAAUUACUGGGCGUAAAGCGCGCGUAGGUGGCUUGAUAAGCCGGUUGUGAAAGCCCCGGGCUCAACCUGGGAACGGCAUCCGGAACUGUCAAGCUAGAGUGCAGGAGAGGAAGGUAGAAUUCCCGGUGUAGCGGUGAAAUGCGUAGAGAUCGGGAGGAAUACCAGUGGCGAAGGCGGCCUUCUGGACUGACACUGACACUGAGGUGCGAAAGCGUGGGUAGCAAACAGGAGUAGAUACCCUGGUAGUC
This 465-nucleotide ribosomal RNA is filed under the name Vreelandella stevensii. RNAcentral describes it as "partial 16S ribosomal RNA". It matches the Rfam family "Bacterial small subunit ribosomal RNA", at positions 338 to 795 of the family's 1533-position model. The record is from RNAcentral. Lineage: Bacteria; Pseudomonadati; Pseudomonadota; Gammaproteobacteria; Oceanospirillales; Halomonadaceae.